Molecule: long non-coding RNA, 347 nt
Filed under: Homo sapiens (human)
Lineage: Eukaryota; Metazoa; Chordata; Mammalia; Primates; Hominidae
Description: HSALNT0378187
Source: RNAcentral
CCUUAAUCUGGGUGGGCACAAUCUAAUCAGCUGCCAGUGUGGCUGAAAUAUAAGGAGGCAGAAAAAUAUGAAAAGACAGACUGGUCGAGCCUCCCAGCCUACAUUUUUCUCCCAUGCUGGAUGCUUCCUGCCCUUGAACAUUGGACUCCAAGUUUUUCAGUUUUGUAACUUGGACUGGCUCUCCUUGCUCCUCAGCCUGCAGAUGGCCUAUUGUGGAACCUUGUGAUCAUAUUUACCUAUAGCUACAUGUUUAAGAAGAUAGCCUUAACCUGCCAGGCAUGGUGGCUCACGCCUGUAAUCCCAGCACUUUGGGAGGCCGAGGCUGGUGGAUCACCUGAGGUCAGGAG